AGUCUGUCUAAUUUGAUUCGAGCACUGGUCUCUCCAGGUUUCACCAUUUCUAUAAUGUCGCAGGAAAUCGAACAAGAGCGGAAGGAACUAACGCAGGAAGAAGAGAUGUGGAGUCUGAAGAGAAGGAGGAGGAGAAUAAUGAGAACAUUGACGAUGACAAUGUCGAUGAUGGUGUCGAUGAUGAUGAUAAUAAUGAUGAUGCCGAUGAUAAUGAGGAGCAGGACAACGCAAAUGUUGAGGAUAGCCUUGAUGACAAUGGCGAUGAUGGGAAGGAGGAGGAAAUACGUGACGAGGAAGAAAUAACUCAGGAGACAAUAGAGAAAGAAGAAAACAUAUUACACAUCUCUUGAAAAUGAAAAUAUUUCGUACUCCCCUGUUCUGCUUAUGUCGCCGGAAUAUUAAAAUUUACAAAAAAAGAAAAACAUCUUCCUACGCAUGAUCAAGUAAACAACUAUAGUACAAACUGGCGGUGGUGCUGACUAUCCUACAUCGCGACAUGCAAGGGAAGAAAAUGUGCCCUUGGAAGAAGAAUCCUCGCAAAAUUUCGAGAACUCCAUCGAUAAUAAACAUUAGCAGCAGCAACAGCAAUGACAAUAGACGCAUCAUCAUCAGGAGGAAAAUAAUCAUUACAGGCAGGAUUAUCAUCGUUAAUAGGAGAUUAGAGAUAAUUCGCUUUUAUUGAGUUAAGGCAGAAAACUCGCGUCGAUUUAGGAAUUUUGCGAUACUAGGGAGGGAGGCAACUUUUACAAUACGUCCGCCACCCGAAGGUACCGAUAUCGUUCGUUGGAUAGAAAGCGCGUUCCGUGAAAUUCGGGCGCUACAUUCGUGCGAACCUUAUGUAGAAUUAUCGUU
Long non-coding RNA from Trachymyrmex septentrionalis, 852 nucleotides. RefSeq lists it as uncharacterized. The transcript has 4 exons. The record is from RefSeq and is a predicted model, not a curated record. Lineage: Eukaryota; Metazoa; Arthropoda; Insecta; Hymenoptera; Formicidae.